Molecule: ribosomal RNA, 468 nt
Filed under: uncultured bacterium
Lineage: Bacteria
Description: partial 16S ribosomal RNA
Rfam family: Bacterial small subunit ribosomal RNA
Source: RNAcentral
GACGAACGCUGGCGGCGUGCUUAACACAUGCAAGUCGAACGGAAAGGCCCUGCUUUUGUGGGAUGCGCGAGUGGAGAACGGGUGAGAAACACGCGAGUAAACUGUGCUUGACAUCGGGAUAACAUCAGGAAACAGGAGCGAAUAUAGGACAGGAAAUCUUGCUGCAUAGUGGGGGUGGGAAAGUUUCGCCGGUUGGGGAUGGACUGGCGGCUUAUCAGCGUGUUGGUGGGGUAGUGGCUUACCGAGGCAUUGACGGGUAGCCGGCCUGAGAGGGUGACCGGCCACAUUGUGACUGAGAUACCAGCCGGACUCCUACGGGAGGAAGCAGUGGGAAAUAGUGCACGAUGGGCGGAAGCCGUAUACAGCAACGCCGCGUGCUGGAUGUCGGCCUUUGGGUUGUAACCCGCUUUCGCCUGUGACGCAGCGUGAGUGACGGUAAUGGCUCAAGAAGCACCGGCUAACUACGUG